AGAGCUGCAUGGCUCGGUGUGAAAAACUCCGGUGGUAUGGGAUGGGCCCGCGUCUGAUUAGGCAGUUGGCGAGGUAACGGCCCACCAAACCGACGAUCAGUAGCCGGCCUGAGAGGGCGACCGGCCACAUUGGGACUGUGACACGGCCCAAACUCCUACGGGAGGCAGCAGUGGGGAAUAUUGCACAAUGGGGGAAACCCUGAUGCAGCGACGCCGCGUGAGCGAAGAAGUAUUUCGGUAUGUAAAGCUCUAUCAGCAGGGAAGAUAAUGACGGUACCUGACUAAGAAGCCCCGGCUAACUACGUGCCAGCAGCCGCGGUAAUACGUAGGGGGCAAGCGUUAUCCGGAUUUACUGGGUGUAAAGGGAGCGUAGACGGCAAGGCAAGUCUGAUGUGAAAACCCAUGGCUUAACCCUGGGACUGCAUUGGAAACUGUCUGGCUUGAGUGCCGGAGAGGUAAGCGGAAUUCCUAGUGUAGCGGUGAAAUGCGUAGAUAUUAGGAAGAACACCAGUGGCGAAGGCGGCUUACUGGACGGUAACUGACGUUGAGGCUCGAAAGCGUGGGGAGCAAACAAGAUUAGAUACCCUGGUAGUCCACGCCGUAAACGAUGAAUGCUUAGGGUUGGGGAGCAAAGCUCUUCUGCGCCGCAGCCAACGCAUUAAGCAAUCCACCUGGGGAGUACGUUUGCAAGAAUGAAAUCAAAGGAAUUGCCGGGGACUCGCACUCGCGGACGAGCAUGUUGUUUAAUUCGAAGCAACGCGAAGAACCUUAACAAGUUCUUACAUCCCGCGGAGCGGUUGGUAAAGGAUCUCUCUCUUCGGAGCAUAGGAGACAGGUGGUGCUCGGUUGUGAUCAGGUCGUGUCUUGCGAUGUCGGGGUAAGUCCUGCAACGAGCGCAACCCUUAUCGUUAGUAGCCAGCAGGUAAAGCUGGGCACUCUGUGGAGAAAUCCAGGGAUAACCCGGAGGAAGGCGGGGAAGACGUCAAAUCAUCACCCCCCUUAUGAUCUGGGCUACACACUGUGAUACAAUGGCGUAAACAAAGGGAGGCAAAGCUGCGAGGUGGAGCAAAUCCCAAAAAUAACGUCUCAGUUGGGCAGGCAGUUGGCAAUUAUACUGCGAGAAGAUUGAAUCGCUAGUAAUCGCGAAUCAGAAUGUAGCGGUGAAUACGUUCCCGUCUUGAGCCCU
Molecule: ribosomal RNA, 1186 nt
Filed under: uncultured bacterium
Lineage: Bacteria
Description: bacterial SSU rRNA
Rfam family: Bacterial small subunit ribosomal RNA
Source: RNAcentral